UAAGUGUGGACCCCUUGCUGUGC
This 23-nucleotide non-coding RNA is filed under the name Mus musculus (house mouse). Lineage: Eukaryota; Metazoa; Chordata; Mammalia; Rodentia; Muridae. The record is from RNAcentral.